GGAGACCAGAGGUUAGCUUCACUUUUUAUAUUAAACUCUGUUGUUCGGGAAUUUGAAGGGUGUAGUUAAAUGAAGGUGCUGCUUCUGCUGGGCUCCUCUCCCCUGUCCCCGCCUCCUUCCAGGCAACAGCUCACUGGUGUGUCCGUGUUUAGUUUCCACGAGUGGAGCUUGUUGUUGGUGUGUUUGAAGAAACUGUAGAAAGUGUGUGUGAGCUGAGCAGCAUGGAUCAGUGUGAGGACAGAGAGGAGGGAGCCCCUCCCUCUAAAAGAGCCAGAGAGAGCCAGACCAAAGCUCAGAGGGACCAGCCUGGACCUCCACCCAGCUCUGUGUCCUUACAGAGUGGCCGGUCUAAAGGUCAGGUCAUAAAUUUUAAUGUCCAGCAGGAGUUUGCUGCAGAGAGGUGAGCUGUUAGCAACAUGAACUCUUUGAUGUCAGUUUGGUGUCUGAUUUAAAUGAACUGUUUUUAUUGUGUUUCCUGGUCUCUAAAUUGCAUAUCUGUAGCAGUAUAAGUCUGUACAAGGUAUAAAAUAGGCACUUAAUGACUCUGAUUAGAACAGAUCAUGAAAGAAAUUAACGGUUCCAUGAACAAUAAGAAAAUCAUAGACAGACUAAAGCUUGACAUUGUCUUUGGGACAUUAUUUACAAGUAUAUCAAUGAUGCAAAAUGUAACUUAAAUCCAUUCCCGACUCCUGGCGGCAAAACACGCACUCAUACACAGAAAUGUGUAGGCAGUCCUUAGCUUAAGGUAAACUUUUCACAAAAUGAUAUAUCCAUGUUGCACUACCGGUUUUCACGCAAUGAUGCAGCGCUGACUGAAGCCCGAUCACGCUGUUAAGUGGGCAGCCCCAAGAUGGCGGAUAAUUAGUUGCAGCUGUGCAGCUCGGAUCAGCAACAGGUGUGUGCGGCCAGCCUCAGCGCAGGAACACUCUCAGGGACGCUCGUCAUCACUCGACGGUGAACAAUCCCAUCACGAGAGAGAGAGAGAGGGAGGGAGCAACCAAAACAACAACUUUUUCAGCUAUUUAUUAAUAAGUGGCUUUUAUGUGGAUAUAUGCCUGUAUAUAUGGUGCUAUUCUUAGUUAGUGUAUUGUCUGUCUCUGUUAAUGUUUGUUUAUAAUGCAGCACUGUAACGAAACACAAUUUCCCCCAAGGAUCAAUAAAGUAUUCUGAUUCUGAAACACACGGGCAGGCUGCCCGGCCAUG
Long non-coding RNA from Astatotilapia calliptera (eastern happy), 1203 nucleotides. NCBI's taxonomy places the organism in Eukaryota, Metazoa, Chordata, Actinopteri, Cichliformes, Cichlidae. The record is from Ensembl.